RNAcentral lists this ribosomal RNA (406 nucleotides) under uncultured bacterium. Its description in RNAcentral is "partial 16S ribosomal RNA". It matches the Rfam family "Bacterial small subunit ribosomal RNA", at positions 30 to 526 of the family's 1533-position model. The record is from RNAcentral.
AUUGAACGCUGGCGGCAGGCCUAACACAUGCAAGUAGAACGAGUGGCGGACGGGUGAGUAAUGUCUGGGAAAAUGCCCGAUGGAGGGGGAUAACUAAUGGAAACGGUAGCUAAUACCGCAUACCAUCGGAUGUGCCCCGAUGGGUUUAGCUAGUAGGUGGGGUAACGGCUAACCUAGGCGACGCUCACUAGCUGUUCUGAGAGGAUGACCAGCCAGACUGGAACUGAGACACGGUCCACACUCCUACGGGAGGCAGCAGUAGGAAAUAUUGCACAAUGGGCGCAAGUCUGAUGCAGCCAUGCCGCGUGUAUGAAGAAGGCCUUCAGGUUGUAAAGUACUUUCAGCUAGGAGGCGGUACUCGCAGAAGAAGCACCGGCUAACUCCGUGCCAGCAGCCGCGGUAAUUC